RNAcentral lists this ribosomal RNA (585 nucleotides) under Vishniacozyma peneaus. Its description in RNAcentral is "eukaryotic LSU rRNA". It matches the Rfam family "Eukaryotic large subunit ribosomal RNA", at positions 89 to 667 of the family's 3401-position model. The record is from RNAcentral. Lineage: Eukaryota; Fungi; Basidiomycota; Tremellomycetes; Tremellales; Bulleribasidiaceae.
GCGAGUGAGCGGGAUGAGCUCAAUUUAAAUCUGGCGUCUUUCAGGCGUCCGAGUUGUCUCUAUAAAGGCGUUUUCCGCGCCGGACCGCGUCCAAGUCCCUUGGAAUAGGGUAUCAAAGAGGGUGACCAUCCCGUACUUGACGCGACCACCGGUGCUUUGWGAUACUUUCUCAAAGACUCGAGGUGUUUGGGAAUGCAUCUCUAAGUGGGUGGUAAAUUCCCUCUAAGGCUAAAUAUUGGAGAGAGACCGAUAGCGAACAAGUACCGUGAGGGAAAGAUGAAAAGCUCUUUGRAAAGAGAGUUAAACASCACGUGAAAUUGUUAAAAGGAAAACGAUUGAGGUCCUUCGUGGGGGAGGUAUUCAGCCGUCUCUGGCGGUGUAUUUGCCUCUCACGGUUCAGCAUCAGUUUGAUCCGGUGGUAAAAGGCGGUAGGAAGGCGCUGCCCUCGGGUGUGUUAUAGCCUCCUGUCCAAUGCAUCGCCUUUGACUGAGGAACGCACCUCGCAGCAAUGCCGAUGCUUCGCCCACGUCCGAKCUUAGGAUGUUGACGUAAUGGCUUUCAACGACCCGUCUUGAAACACGGACC